This is an RNA transcript of Musa acuminata AAA Group (dessert banana), 3851 nucleotides long. It is a transcript of the gene named tubby-like F-box protein 6, with no coding region annotated. The record is from RefSeq and is a predicted model, not a curated record. The transcript is spliced from 7 exons. NCBI's taxonomy places the organism in Eukaryota, Viridiplantae, Streptophyta, Magnoliopsida, Zingiberales, Musaceae.
AAAUGUCUCCUCCUCCUAUCUUUCCCCCCUUACCCACCCGCUUCCCCAAUUCUAAAGCUCCAAGAGCUUCCCUCUCUAUAUUCCCAUACUUCACUCACCGGCUCUCCCCUUUACCCCUCACCUCUGCUCAGAUUUCCCCAUUGGAUCCCCGAAUUCUUUCGUACGAUUGGUGCUUUGAAGGAACGAUUCUGAGAUUCGACUCCAAUUCUUCUCAUUAAUCAACAUUUCUCUGUGUCAGUGAGUCGAAUCUUAGAAGGGAUGUCGAUGGUGUUACUAGUUGCUUCUACCCUCCGUCAACCGGGAAGUCGGUCCAUCCGCUGUUGUCUUUCACGGUAGCUGCGAUGGGCUUCUAAUGCUUAAUCCCGAGAUCUACGCCGGAGAUCUUGGAUGCUGUAGGGUGCCGGAAUUGGAUCGGGUUCGAUCGAAUUCUAGCGUCUUAUCGUAGGAUCUGGUGGCGGAUCGAUGUCGUUCAGGAGCAUAAUUCAGGACUUGAGGGAUGAAUUGGGGAGCAUUUCGAGGAAGGGCUUCGAAUUGAAGAUGGGGCAUGGGCUGAGGUCGCGGUCGCACAGGGUGGUGCACGACGCUCUGGGCCCGCCUUUGGUGGGCGCGCUGAGACAGAGUUGCUGGGCGAACAUGCCUCCCGAGCUGCUGAGGGAUGUGCUGGUGAGGAUCGAGGAAGGCGAGGGCUCGUGGCCCGUGCGGAAGGAUGUGGUAGCCUGUGCCGGCGUCUGCCGGAGUUGGAGGGACACUAUGAAGGAGAUUGUGAUGACACCUGAGCUGUCGGGGAAGCUCACCUACCCUAUCUCAUUGAAGCAGCCUGGGCCAAGGGACUUUCCUCUCCAAUGUUUUAUAAGGCGAAACCAGAGUACACAAACUUACCAUCUCUAUCUUGGUCUUACGCAAGCACUGGCGGCUGAUGGCAAGUUCCUGCUUGCUGCACGAAAAUGUCGGCGUCCUACAUGCACCGAAUAUCUCAUCUCUCUUGAUGCUGAUGACAAGUCAAGGGGAGGUGGUACAUACAUUGGGAAACUAAGAUCUAAUUUUCUGGGAACCAAAUUCACUGUCUAUGAUGCUCAGCCACCUCACGCUGGAGCUACAGUCUCAAGGAGUCAGUUGACUCGUAUAAUUGGUCCCAAACAAGUUUCUCCCAGGGUUCCUGCUGGAAACUACCCUGCUGCCCACAUUGCUUAUGAGUUGAAUGUGUUGGGUUCGAGAGGUCCUCGAAGAAUGCACUGUGUCAUGGACUCGAUACCUGCUUCUGCGAUUGAACCUGGUGGAAUGGCUCCGACUCAAACAGAAUUCUUGCAUAACAGCCUCGAUUCUUUUCCAUCAGUUCCAUUCUUCAGAUCCAAGUCAUACCGCACGGAAAGUUUGUCAGGAUCAAUAUCUGGCUUGAAAGAGGAAAAGUUGGUUUUAAAAAACAAAGCUCCAAGGUGGCAUGAACAGCUUCAGUGCUGGUGUUUGAAUUUCAGGGGACGUGUAACUGUUGCAUCAGUGAAGAACUUCCAGCUGGUGGCCUCUGAAGAGAAUGGGUCAUCUAACCAGGAGGAGGAGAAGGUAAUUCUCCAGUUUGGCAAGGUGGGGAAGGAUUUGUUCACCAUGGACUACUGCUAUCCAAUAUCAGCAUUUCAGGCAUUUGCUAUCUGCCUCAGCAGCUUUGACACUAAGAUAGCUUGUGAAUAAGACCAGUGUCCAGGCUCUGCUACAGCUGGUAGCUUCUUGAAGCCAUAAGCAUUUCCUACAUCAACAAGGGAAGGAGACUACCUACAUUCUGGCAUAAGGAUUUUCUUAGAGGUUUGUGAUUUUGUUCGUUUCAUUUAUAUGUUUACUUUUGAUGGUAAAGACUUUAUAUAGAUCUCAAGGACAUUAUGAUUUAUUAUUUUUGUUGUCAUAAUUAUUGUGUAGGAAAAUAAAGCCUUUCUUAAAAUUUUUAUUUAUGCAAUUACAUCUAGAGACUUAGGCUACCAAAUGGGAUAAGAUCAUAAUUUUUAUUUGACAUUAUUCAUUCAUUUGCAAAUGACACAUCUCUCAACUCAACACGUGAUUUGACUUCAAGAUCUUUUAGUUUUGAGAUCAACUUAAAUUGUCAUUGUACUUUCAUCUCAGAUGUGCACCUGAAAACGAUUGAAGACACGAGUUCUUCCAUCACGGUCAGUAGUGAACAAUAUUGGGGAGAAGCGUUACGGGAUAGUGGUAGAGGGGCAAAUACGCUAUUUACUGAACUCCCAAAGGAUAGAUGUGUAAAACCUCCAUAAAAGUCAUACCGGUCAACCAAGCAAUCACAUAAAUGCAUGAGCACAAUUCUCUCGUAUCAACCUUUCUUCAAGUCUUUCUAAUUGCUAGGUCAACACAAAGUAUACUAGUCAACCAAUCUCAUAUAUAGUGUAUAAGCUCAGUUCUGUAUCCAGCAUCUUAUUUCCCAUCAAGUGCUUAAUGCUACCCGAUUGGUAGGUCAAAAAAUGUUGCGGUCCACAUGAAAUAGGAGACAAAUACCUAUCCAAUCUAAUCUACCUUAAGUUAUUUUCCAACAAUAAACAAUUGCUUCUUAUCAUAACAAUAACAACAAGACCACAAAACUCUAACUAUUUAGGGCCAACUAAGUCAUUUAACUCCUUAAAAAGUCAUUACUUCUUACCAAAAUAAUCUAUAAUUAGAAUCGAAAUCUAAGCUAGAGUUGAUUGAUUAAAAUUGGAAUUACAUUAAAACAGCUAAUCCCAUUAACAGUACUGGUUCAUGAAUUCAGGAACUGGAAUCAAAAUCCCACACACCAAUUGGGUUGUGCGUUAUUAUUGAUAUUAAAACAAGUGGCUAGUCUCUGGAUCGUGAACGCACAUGUCAAAGCAUUAGAAUUCAAGCAUCCAUGCCUAGUGCUCGUUAAACAUUGAGUAGUCAAAGACUACAACAUUGAGUAAUACUUACCUAAAAGAGCGGUGAUGGGGUCAUCCUUCAUUUAUUUUAGAUCAGGAUUCAGUCAACUUCCAAGUUGGCGCAGCCCACGUUUUUACAACGUUAACAACGCACCUGCCACUGUAGAUAGCAUGCAGCAGUUAGUGCUGCGGGCCUUGACUGGCGUUUGGCCUUGUCAAGUCCACAGACUAAGAUAAAGAAAUCAAGAAAUAAGCUAGAUGAUGGCGAUAUUCUAACUGCUCAAUCAUAGAGUAUUGGGAGUUUAAAGCUGGAAAGCUACCACUUGUGUUCAUGACUCUAUAAUUCUUGGAACCUCACCUUAGUUCUUCUUACCUCUCUCUCUCUCUCUCUCUCUCUCUCUCUCUCUGCCUUCUCCUAUGGGGAAAAUUUGCUGUGGAGCAGCAGAUGAUGAUGAUGGAAAUGGUGGGAUAGACAUGAUGGGCUUCCUUGUUGCAGUCAUCAUUGCGUUAGUGCUGAUACUCAUCUGCAGCCAACCACCCCGUCGACGAGCGAUGGUCACCGUUUGCCCCAGUCGCUGCUACUGAGGGAUUGCAGCAGCCUUCAACCUUGAUGUUCCAACAAAUGCAGAUUCUGCUUCCUCAGCAAUCCUCUUACUGGAAAGAUAAUCCUCCCUGUCCAUCAGCUGACUACUCUGUGGCUUCUUCAAUCUGUUGACCAAGAACCACAUCAGUUUAAAUAAGUAGACAGACAAAAAGCAAUUACUGCAUCAACUGGAAGUCAACUCUUAAUCUGUCUGAGGAAUGUGUGACAGAAAGAUGGUGGAGAGGAAAGCUUAGUCGUGGGAAAAGACCUUGGCAUAAAAGGCAAAAUAUCCUGCCACAAGUUCCCAUUAUUCUUGACAUCUCAAAUUAAACCAAAAUGUCAAAGCAGAAAGCUGAUAUAUGGGAUUAUAAAUAUAGUUCUAUCUGAGGAAUUUGUUCUUC